RNAcentral lists this microRNA precursor (73 nucleotides) under Medicago truncatula (barrel medic). RNAcentral describes it as "MIR5272 microRNA precursor family". It matches the Rfam family "MIR5272 microRNA precursor family". The record is from Rfam by way of RNAcentral. Lineage: Eukaryota; Viridiplantae; Streptophyta; Magnoliopsida; Fabales; Fabaceae.
CUGAAUGUGAAUUGAUUUAUGUUUGGAUAUACUAACCGAAAAGUGAUUCUUAUGAUUGAUGUUGUUUGGAUAG